AAAAAAAAAAAAAAAAAAAGAAAAAAAAAAAAGAGGAGGAAACCCUCCCCCCCCCAGCCCUCUGCCUUUGUUAUAAGAAAAGCAAGAGGAGAGAGUGACCUCCCGAGCCAAAGGUUUCGACACUGAAUCAAAUCCCUUUAGGCCUGAACUGGCAGGCUGGGCCCGGCGUUGGAUUACUUUAUCACAUCUUAGAGCGAUGCUUGACUGUCACUAUUAAUUUCUACUCCCAUUUUUUCCGUCAGUGUGAACAUUGUCAUUGGACUAUUGUUUAAGAUAGCAACAAUUCCAAACCAAAUUCAAGCCCAUACAGACAUUUAUGGAGCAGAACAGGUGAAUUCCAGAGACACUAGGAAACUCCUUCCUGUUAAAUUAAGACAACCUCGGAUGAAAAACCUUUUGAUGUGAACCACAGCGAUACUGGGGAUGGGACUAAGAGAAUUUUGGUGCCUGUUUCCUGAAUUAUAGCUGGGAUG
Molecule: long non-coding RNA, 473 nt
Organism: Lepidothrix coronata (blue-crowned manakin)
Lineage: Eukaryota; Metazoa; Chordata; Aves; Passeriformes; Pipridae
Exons: 4
Source: RefSeq, a predicted model, not a curated record